Molecule: ribosomal RNA, 490 nt
Filed under: uncultured bacterium
Lineage: Bacteria
Description: partial 16S ribosomal RNA
Rfam family: Bacterial small subunit ribosomal RNA
Source: RNAcentral
AUUGAACGCUGGCGGCAGGCCUAACACAUGCAAGUCGAAUGGUAACAGGAAACAGCUUGCUGUUUCGCUGACGAGUGGCGGACGGGUGAGUAAUGUCUGGGAAACUGCCUGAUGGAGGGGGAUAACUACUGGAAACGGUAGCUAAUACCGCAUAACGUCGCAAGACCAAAGAGGGGGACCUUCGGGCCUCUUGCCAUCAGAUGUGCCCAGAUGGGAUUAGCUAGUAGGUGGGGUAACGGCUCACCUAGGCGACGAUCCCUAGCUGGUCUGAGAGGAUGACCAGCCACACUGGAACUGAGACACGGUCCAGACUCCUACGGGAGGCAGCAGUGGGGAAUAUUGCACAAUGGGCGCAAGCCUGAUGCAGCCAUGCCGCGUGUAUGAAGAAGGCCUUCGGGUUGUAAAGUACUUUCAGCGGGGAGGAAGGGAGUAAAGUUAAUACCUUAGCUCAUUGACGUUACCCGCAGAAGAAGCACCGGCUAACUCCGUG